RNAcentral lists this ribosomal RNA (539 nucleotides) under uncultured bacterium. Its description in RNAcentral is "bacterial SSU rRNA". It matches the Rfam family "Archaeal small subunit ribosomal RNA", at positions 722 to 1262 of the family's 1478-position model. The record is from RNAcentral.
AGCGAAUAGAUACCCAGGUAGUCCCAGCCGUAAACGAUGCUCGCUAGGUGUCAGGCAUGGCGCGACCGUGUCUGGUGCCGCAGGGAAGCCGUGAAGCGAGCCACCUGGGAAGUACGGCCGCAAGGCUGAAACUUAAAGGAAUUGGCGGGGGAGCACAACAACGGGCGGAGCCUGCGGUUUAAUUGGACUCAACGCCGGACAACUCACCGGGAGCGACAGCAAUAUGUAGGCCAGGCUGAAGACCUUGCCUGAAUCGCUGAGAGGAGGUGCAUGGCCGUCGCCAGUUCGUACUGUGAAGCAUCCUGUUAAGUCAGGCAACGAGCGAGACCCGUGCCCACUGUUACCAGCAUGUCCUCAGGGACGAUGGGUACUCUGUGGGGACCGCCGGUGUUAAAUCGGAGGAAGGUGCGGGCCACGGUAGGUCAGUAUGCCCCGAAUCUCCCGGGCUACACGCGGGCUACAAUGGAUGGGACAAUGGGUCCCUACCCCGAAAGGGGAUGGUAAUCUCAUAAACCCAUUCCUAGUUCGGAUCGAGGGCU